GGAAGCGUGUCCGAGCGGCCGAAGGAGACGGUCUUGAAAACCGUUGUGCGGUAACCCCGUACCGUGGGUUCAAAUCCCACCGCCACCGCCA
Molecule: transfer RNA, 91 nt
Filed under: Burkholderia multivorans
Lineage: Bacteria; Pseudomonadati; Pseudomonadota; Betaproteobacteria; Burkholderiales; Burkholderiaceae
Description: tRNA-Ser
Rfam family: tRNA
About the family: Transfer RNA (tRNA) molecules are approximately 80 nucleotides in length.
Source: RNAcentral